Molecule: ribosomal RNA, 253 nt
Filed under: uncultured bacterium
Lineage: Bacteria
Description: partial 16S ribosomal RNA
Rfam family: Bacterial small subunit ribosomal RNA
Source: RNAcentral
UACGAAGGGGGCUAGCGUUGCUCGGAAUCACUGGGCGUAAAGGGUGCGUAGGCGGGUCUUUAAGUCAGGGGUGAAAUCCUGGAGCUCAACUCCAGAACUGCCUUUGAUACUGAGGAUCUUGAGUCCGGAAGAGGAGAGUGGAAUUCCUGGUGUAGCGGUGAAAUGCGCAGAUAUCAGGAAGAACACCCGUGGCUAAGGCGGCUCUCUAGUAUGGUACUGACGCUGAGACGCGAAAGCGUGGGGAGCAAACAGG